Molecule: unclassified non-coding RNA, 314 nt
Organism: Otolemur garnettii (small-eared galago)
Lineage: Eukaryota; Metazoa; Chordata; Mammalia; Primates; Galagidae
Rfam family: Metazoan signal recognition particle RNA
About the family: The signal recognition particle (SRP) is a universally conserved ribonucleoprotein.
Source: Ensembl
GCCAGGUGUUGUGGCGGGCACCUGUGGUCCCAGCUACUUGGGAGGCAGAGGCAGGAGACUCGCUGGAGCCCAGGAGUUGGAGGUUGCUGUGAGCGUGAUGCCAUGGCACUCUACCCAGGGGGGAUAGCUUGAGGCUCCAUCUCAAAAAAAAAAAGAAAUCUCAGACAUGAGACAAUACAGUGCAGCAGAUAGCAUUAGAGAGAGGAAAGGUUAAAAAACAAGUACGUCUUCUUUUUUUUUUUUUUUGAGAUGGAGCCUCAAGCUAUCCCCCUGGGUAGAGUGCCGUGGCAUCACAGCUCACAGCAACCUCCAAC